CCUACGGGAGGCAGCAGUGGGGAAUAUUGCACAAUGGGCGAAACCCUGAUGCAGCAACGCCGCGUGAGUGAUGAAGGACUUCGGGUCGUAAAGCUCUGUCCUCAAGGAAGAUAAUGACGGUACUUGAGGAGGAAGCCCCGGCUAACUACGUGCCAGCAGCCGCGGUAAUACGUAGGGGGCUAGCGUUAUCCGGAAUUACUGGGGGAAAGGGGUGCGGAGGUGGUUUUUUAAGUCAGAGGGGAAAGGCUACGGCUAAACCGUAGUAAGCCUUUGAAACUGGGAGACUUGAGUGCAGGAGAGGAAAGUGGAAUUCCUAGUGUAGCGGUGAAAUGCGUAGAUAUUAGGAGGAACACCAGUUGCGAAGGCGGCUCUCUGGACUGUAACUGACGCUGAGGCACGAAAGCGUGGGGAGCAAACAGGAUUAGAUACCCGUGUAGUC
Molecule: ribosomal RNA, 439 nt
Filed under: uncultured bacterium
Lineage: Bacteria
Description: partial 16S ribosomal RNA
Rfam family: Bacterial small subunit ribosomal RNA
Source: RNAcentral